This 1119-nucleotide long non-coding RNA is filed under the name Homo sapiens (human). RNAcentral's name for it is "HSALNT0105517". Lineage: Eukaryota; Metazoa; Chordata; Mammalia; Primates; Hominidae. The record is from RNAcentral.
GGGUGACCUAGGAAGGCCUUUGAAAUGUGUUGUAUCAGCUCAGAGGGAAUUAGACCGCAUACGAUGCCACAAAACAUCAAAUAAAUGUAAAACUAUAAAGAUAAUACAUCUAAAAUUAAGAUGUAUUAAUAACUAGGCAUACAAGCUCUCUCUGAAUACAAAGUGUGUAAGAGCUGAUUUCCAAGAUCCUUUGCAAUUAAACGUUAGUACAUGAUGAAAGUUCUUAAGGCUUAGCCUCACUUGCUGCUAAGCCUGCUACCUGAGUUUCUACUAGGCUGUGACCAACUUUUGAACUUGCCACGAUAGCACUAAACUACUGUUAUGCAUCCUACUGAUAAAACUGGACAUGUGGCGCUUAAUACGCCAAACCAGAAUCAUCAAUGUUUGUUAAAGAACUCUCCCGUUACUAUUGUGAUGUCCACUCCGGAAGAUUAUCUGCAUCUGGUUGAGGUUUAGACAGAAGAGAAGCAGUUAACAGACACCGACUGUAUACACAGCGGUCUGCCGGCACACUGCAAAAAAGCCGAUACGCCUUACAGGCUCAGGAAGUUGACUAACCCAGGGAAAAGCCCCAUGCCCUCCUCUAUGAAAGGGAGUGUGUGGUUGGUAGAACCCAAAGUAAACACGGAAAAAUUCAUUCAAGAAUUUCCUUAAGGCCUACCGUGAAGACGUCGGAGGCAAGUUAAGACGUUGGGGAGCAGGAGCAGCAUCACACCUGCGCCUACCAGAGAUGCAAACUGAGGAGACAGAGCCAGUUGGAGAGAAACCAUCAGGAACGUAUUGGUCCCUGUCUGCAACUGAGGCCUUCUGCUUGUUUCUCUCUGCUCCAGUGCCAUCAAAAAGAAAGAAAGAAAGAAAAAGCUACAAACAUGAGUCAAGGCUGUAUAUAGCAGCUCUGGAUCCUAUCCCAGUUGGGUUGACUACUUUGGGCUCAGUGUCUCUUGGCUUUCUUGAGCAAAGACUGACUGUGCCUUCUCUCCAGAGAGUCAAAGCCAUAAUCAAUGAGUGCAUUUGGCACAGCCAGUCUUCCUCCAGUCUGCAUUGCACGCACAAGUGGAAUCCUGCUGUUAAGACAGCUCUGAGGCUGAACUGAAGCCCUUCUUCCUCCUUCCAUCUACA